UGUGUUUUUAAGCUCUCGAUACUAUUGUCAGUCAAGAAACCAAAUAUCCAAGUCCUACUGAGAAAGGACUUGGGCUGUGUUUUCCAGGUGGGUCCCACCCAGGGCAUGUGUUUCUGCAGGGAAAUCGGGUCAGAUGGCAGAGGUGGUCCUGGUGGCUGUGGUGGAGGCAUCUGUCAAGGUCCUGCUUCUUGAGCUCUGUUUCGCAUUUCCGAGGUGGUGUUCUGCAGAAAGAAGACAGCAAGCUGUCAGUGCACAUGGACUAUGAAAGUCCCGUCAAGUUAGUCACACGGGGUCAUUGCAUGGCACAUCUCCUUCAUGUCCUCCGUGUGAUAGCUACAGUGUGGCUUGGCUCAGCCGCCCACAUCCACCCUGAGCCUGCCUUCCUGCUGGGUCCCACGGUGCUUCUGGAGCAGAGAUCCCACCUCUCUCCAGAGUACAGUGGCCUCCAUCUAUGUGUGUGGAUGACAUGCGUGCAGUGUUCACAGCGGUCAGAAGAGGGCGUUGGAGCCUCGGGACUGGAGUGACAGACAGUUGUGAGCUGCCAUGUGGGUGCUGGGAACCAAGUCUGGAUCCUCCAGGAGAGCAGCCAGUGCUCUUAGGCACUGAGCCAUCUCUCCAUCCCGUCCAUACAUGCUUUUAGCUGUUUUGUCUAAUUUUAAGUGUCAUUAAUUUUGUUUAAAAAGAAAAUUCAAACUUGGGAAUGCUGCUUACAUAGGAAUAGGAAAAACAGGAGGGUUUGAAAUUGCGGUUUUACAUUCUUUUCUUACAUCUUACUGCUACUUAAUAAUGCCUAAUUCCAGAAUCACUUAAAAGUUA
Molecule: long non-coding RNA, 816 nt
Organism: Mesocricetus auratus (golden hamster)
Lineage: Eukaryota; Metazoa; Chordata; Mammalia; Rodentia; Cricetidae
Exons: 3
Source: RefSeq, a predicted model, not a curated record